GGGCGCGCACAUCUGUUAAAAGAUAACGCAGUGUCCUAAAUGAGCUCAACGAGAAACAGAAAUCUCGUGUGAACAGAAGGUAAAAGCUCGUUUGAUUCUGAUUUCCAGUACGAAUACGAACCGUGAAAGCGUGGCUAACGAUCCUUUAGACCUUCGGAAUUCGAAGCUAGAGUGUCAGAAAAUUACCACAGGGAUAACUGGCUUGUGGCAGCCAAGCUUCAUAGCGACGUUGCUUUUGAUCCUUCGAUGUCGGCUCUUCCUAUCAUUGUGAAGCAGAAUUCACCAAGUGUUGAUUGUUCACCACCAAUAGGAACGUGAGCUGGUUUAGACCGUCGAGACAGGUUAGUUUACCCUACUGAUGACAGUGUCGCAAUAGUAAUUCAACCUAGUACGAGAGAACCGUUGAUUCGCACAAUUGUCAUCGCGCUUGGUUGAAAAGCCAGUGGCGCGAAGCUACCGUGCGUUGGAUUAUGACUGAACGCCUCUAAGUCAGAAUCCGGCUAGACCGACGCAUGCGCUCGUCGCCCGUUGCCGACCCGCAGUAGGGCCAUUGGCCCCAAGGCACGUGUCGUGCUAAGCCGUCGUGGCGGAAGGUCACGUGGCCGCCUUGAAUUACAAUUCCGAUCGAGCGGCGAGCUGAAUCCUUUGCAGACGACUUAAAUACGCGACGGGUAUUGUAAGGUAGAGUGCCUUGCUGCCACGAUCCUCUGAGAUUCAGCCCUUUGUCGCUCCGAUUCGU
Molecule: non-coding RNA, 739 nt
Filed under: Ipomoea nil (Japanese morning glory)
Lineage: Eukaryota; Viridiplantae; Streptophyta; Magnoliopsida; Solanales; Convolvulaceae
Description: Eukaryotic large subunit ribosomal RNA
Rfam family: Eukaryotic large subunit ribosomal RNA
Source: Rfam by way of RNAcentral